AUUGAACGCUGGCGGCAUGCCUUACACAUGCAAGUCGAACGGUAACGGGCCUUCGGGUGCCGACGAGUGGCGAACGGGUGAGUAAUGCAUCGGAACGUACCUUUCAGUGGGGGAUAACGUAGCGAAAGUUACGCUAAUACCGCAUAUUCUGUGAGCAGGAAAGCAGGGGAUCGCAAGACCUUGCGCUGAUUGAGCGGCCGAUGUCAGAUUAGCUAGUUGGUGAGGUAAAGGCUCACCAAGGCGACGAUCUGUAGCGGGUCUGAGAGGAUGAUCCGCCACACUGGAACUGAGACACGGUCCAGACUCCUACGGGAGGCAGCAGUGGGGAAUUUUGGACAAUGGGGGGCAACCCUGAUCCAGCCAUGCCGCGUGAGUGAAGAAGGCCUU
Molecule: ribosomal RNA, 387 nt
Filed under: uncultured bacterium
Lineage: Bacteria
Description: bacterial SSU rRNA
Rfam family: Bacterial small subunit ribosomal RNA
Source: RNAcentral